Long non-coding RNA from Betta splendens (Siamese fighting fish), 1475 nucleotides. RefSeq lists it as uncharacterized. The transcript has 2 exons. The record is from RefSeq and is a predicted model, not a curated record. Lineage: Eukaryota; Metazoa; Chordata; Actinopteri; Anabantiformes; Osphronemidae.
CUGCGCAGCUCAGGCCGAGGGCUAAAACACUCCACAACAGAUAAAGCUUUUGCCAAUGUGUUUUCAUUGCAACGGACCGACGUCAGACGCGUUUUCCUUUUGAACCUGCGCGUGAAGCCGCCGCUCCGCCGCGGCUGGAGGAGCCUUUGGAUCCACUGGACCCUUUGGAGGAGGUGGGAGAGGAGGAUGCUCCCCAAGCAUCUUGGACGAUUCCUCUGGUUCACUGCAUCAGACAGUGGAGACAGUGGAGGCUGACCCACCACCAGUGUAGGAAGGAGUGGUACCACAGAUCCUUGAUAUCCACUGCUGUGCAACUUCAUCCUGUGCAUUUUACAGUACUACAUAUAUGUGUGAGCUGCAGAUCUGUUACAUGUUUACAUGUUUGUUACAUGUUUAACAAAUGUUAAAUAUGCAGAAAAUUAUGUCCUAUUUGUGAGACGUUGAGUUGUUUUUUUCAUUCUGCACAUUUUGCCCAUUUCUUGUUUUUGCAUCCUGGUAUUUUUUUGUGGCUUAUUUUUAAAAAAAAGUUUGUCUUAUCGAAAGUUAUCUAUGUUAUGGGCCUUUUUUCAUCACAUACUAUGCUAUGGCACAAUAUUGACAACAUUCUUUUAACAACACAACAUUCUAAAGACGAACAUAUGGCAUAAUUUUCAACACAGACUAUGGCAUAUUUUUUUCAAGACACACUAUACUGGUGUAAUUUUGACGACAUACUGUGCCAUGAUAUAUUAUGGUUCAGUUCUGAUAAAAUAUCAUAGUACAGUGUAUUUUUAAUGGCAUACACCAAAUACAAUGGUGUAUUUUUCAACACAUACUAUAUCAUGGCACAAUUCUGACUAUUAUAUAUACACACACACUAUCUGGUAUAUUUUCAAUGGCAUACUUUACUAUGGUAUAUUUUUAAAUGACACUUUAUUGUGAUAAAUUAAUUCAUAAUAAUUUAGCGGUUUCCACUGAACCCUUGAAAAAUGUAUCAUUAUUAUAGUUAUACAUAAUACACAGUAUAAAGAGAAAAAAAACUUUAUAUAAAUAUUGAAGGUCACUUAAAUAAAUAUAACUGUAGUAAUUAAUUUUACAAAGUCAAGUAAAUUCACUUAAAUUAUUUGAUCAUCUUUAUUUAACAUAUUUACAAUACAUUACAAUUGUGUAAUGCUUAGAAAAACAUAUUUACAAUUUAAACAUACUACAGAAUACAAACACCAAAGAGAAUUCAUUCAAUUUAGUGCAAUUUUUGACCUUAAAAUGAAGACUUUGCACUUCAGUUGUCUUUUCAAAACCUUUGUAACCUUUGUGACAAACAGGGGUGUAAUAGGCGGUUCAAUGCUGUAGUCAAAAACUGGGAUUAAUGCCUCCUGUUUGAAUCCUCAGUCUACAGAGUCUCACAAUACUGCAAAGGCAUGGAUGUCAAGUCCUUCACACAGGAUGUACAGUAGAUGGUAAUAAAUUAAACGUGCUUUCAUUAAAAAAAAAAAAAA